GUCUGGUAGGUGUUGCAGCUGAAGUUCUUGUUGCUGAGGCAGGUUAGGAACCCUCUGGAGAUGCUGGAGAGGAGUGGUUUCAGUUUCACCUCCAUCCACACCUUUAUCAGGUCCUCAUCUUGGUAGGCUUCUGUCUCUGGGUUCACACUGAUACCCAGCUCUAGUUUGAACACUGGGGUCUGGGAUAGACUGGAUCUCUGCAGAGGGGGAGACAGGGGUUAAAGUUCACACUGAUACCCAGCUCUAGUUUGAACACUGGGGUCUGGGAUAGACUGGAUCUCUGGAGAGGGGGAGACAGGGGUUAAGGUUCACACUAAUACCCAGCUCUAGUCUGAACACUGGGGUCUGGGAUAGACUGGAUCUCUGGAGAGGGGGAGACAGGGGUUAAGGUUCACAAUGAUACCCAGCUCUAGUCCUAACACUGGGGUCUGGGAUAGACUGGAUCUCUGGAGAGGGGGAGACAGGGGAUUAAGGUUCACAAUGAUACCCAGUUCUAGUCCGAACACUGGGGUCUGGGAUAGACUGUAUCUCUGGAGAGGGGGAGACAGGGGUUAAGUAUAUAAUAACAUGCUGGUAGACCUCAGCUUCUGUGUUGUCAGAUAUCCAGUUGUAGACCCAACAACAGGGAUAGACUGGACCUCUGGAGGGGAGGGAGAGAGACUGG
Oncorhynchus tshawytscha (Chinook salmon) is the source of this 664-nucleotide long non-coding RNA. The record is from Ensembl. NCBI's taxonomy places the organism in Eukaryota, Metazoa, Chordata, Actinopteri, Salmoniformes, Salmonidae.